This is a long non-coding RNA of Sander lucioperca (pikeperch), 137 nucleotides long. RefSeq lists it as uncharacterized. NCBI's taxonomy places the organism in Eukaryota, Metazoa, Chordata, Actinopteri, Perciformes, Percidae. The record is from RefSeq and is a predicted model, not a curated record. The transcript has 3 exons.
UAUGUAGUUAGGCUGUGCCUCAUUCCUCUGUCUUACCCCUUCCCCUUAGUUUUGCGCGUUCACGUGAGAGUAAGGGCUAUCCCAAUUCUCAUUUUGAUCGAGGGGUAGGGCUAAGGGGAAGGGGUAUAUACCCCUUA